Molecule: ribosomal RNA, 490 nt
Filed under: uncultured bacterium
Lineage: Bacteria
Description: partial 16S ribosomal RNA
Rfam family: Bacterial small subunit ribosomal RNA
Source: RNAcentral
AUUGAACGCUGGCGGCAGGCUUAACACAUGCAAGUCGAACGGUAACAUAAAGGAGCUUGCUUCUUUGAUGACGAGUGGCGGACGGGUGAGUAAUGCUUGGGAAUCUAGCUUAUGGAGGGGGAUAACUACGGGAAACUGUAGCUAAUACCGCGUAGAAUCGGGAGAUGAAAGUGUGGGACCUUCGGGCCACAUGCCAUAGGAUGAGCCCAAGUGGGAUUAGGUAGUUGGUGAGGUAAAGGCUCACCAAGCCGACGACCUCUAGCUGGUCUGAGAGGAUGACCAGCCACACUGGGACUGAGACACGGCCCAGACUCCUACGGGAGGCAGCAGUGGGGAAUAUUGCGCAAUGGGGGCAACCCUGACGCAGCCAUGCCGCGUGAAUGAAGAAGGCCUUCGGGUUGUAAAGUUCUUUCGGUAGCGAGGAAGGCAUUUAGUUUAAUAGACUAGGUGAUUGACGUUAACUACAGAAGAAGCACCGGCUAACUCCGUG